CAGUCGCCACGGUAAUACGUAGGUGGCAAGCGUUAUCCGGAAUUAUUGGGCGUAAAGCGCGCGUAGGCGGUUUCUUAAGUCUGAUGUGAAAGCCCACGGCUCAACCGUGGAGGGUCAUUGGAAACUGGGAAACUUGAGUGCAGAAGAGGAAAGUGGAAUUCCAUGUGUAGCGGUGAAAUGCGCAGAGAUAUGGAGGAACACCAGUGGCGAAGGCGACUUUCUGGUCUGUAACUGACGCUGAUGUGCGAAAGCGUGGGGAUCAAACAGGAUUAGAUACCCCAGUAGUCCCUGUCUCUUAUAC
This 301-nucleotide ribosomal RNA is filed under the name uncultured bacterium. RNAcentral's name for it is "partial 16S ribosomal RNA". It matches the Rfam family "Bacterial small subunit ribosomal RNA", at positions 509 to 807 of the family's 1533-position model. The record is from RNAcentral.